RNAcentral lists this ribosomal RNA (492 nucleotides) under uncultured bacterium. Its description in RNAcentral is "partial 16S ribosomal RNA". It matches the Rfam family "Bacterial small subunit ribosomal RNA", at positions 28 to 507 of the family's 1533-position model. The record is from RNAcentral.
GAUGAACGCUGGCGGCAUGCCUAACACAUGCAAGUCGAACGGCAGCACAGUAAGCUUUUUCUCUUACCGUUAGCGGGUGGCGGACGGGUGACGAGUACAUCAGAUUCUUCUUUUUCUUGGAUGAUUACGUAAAGACACUUACGCUAAUACCUCAUAUAUUCUACCGGUUAGAUCAAUAGAUCUUCACACCUUUCCUGUUUCAUUUAGCCGAUGUCGCAUUAGCUAGUUGGCUGGGUAAAGUCCCACCAAGGCGACGAUGCGUAGCUGACCUGAGAGGAUGAUCGGCCACACUGGAACUGAGACACGGUCCAGACUCCUACGGGAGGCAGCAGUGGGGAAUCUUCGACAAUGGGCGAAAGCCUGACGGAGCAACGCCGCGUGAGUGAUGAAGGUCUUCGGAUCGUAAAGCUCUUUUGUUGGGAAAGAACAGAAGUGGGAUAAACUAUGGACGUCUUGACGGUACCUAAUGAAAAAGCAACGGCUAACUUCGUG